CCAGCAGCCGCGGUAAUACGAACCGUGCGAACGUUGUUCGGAAUCACUGGGCGUAAAGGGUGUGUAGGCGGUUUCUUAAGUUUGGUGUGAAAUCUCCCGGCUCAACUGGGAGGGUGCGCCGAAUACCGAGGGACUCGAGUGCGGGAGAGGAGAGUGGAAUUCCUGGUGUAGCGGUGAAAUGCGUAGAUAUCAGGAGGAACACCGGUGGUGCAGACGGCUCUCUGGACCGCGACUGACGCUGAAACACGAAAGCGUGGGUAGCAAACAGGAUUAGAUACCCUGGUA
This 285-nucleotide ribosomal RNA is filed under the name uncultured Acidobacteriota bacterium. RNAcentral's name for it is "uncultured Acidobacteria bacterium partial 16S ribosomal RNA". It matches the Rfam family "Bacterial small subunit ribosomal RNA", at positions 508 to 792 of the family's 1533-position model. Lineage: Bacteria; Pseudomonadati; Acidobacteriota. The record is from RNAcentral.